Long non-coding RNA from Myotis lucifugus (little brown bat), 985 nucleotides. RefSeq lists it as uncharacterized. The record is from RefSeq and is a predicted model, not a curated record. NCBI's taxonomy places the organism in Eukaryota, Metazoa, Chordata, Mammalia, Chiroptera, Vespertilionidae. The transcript is spliced from 3 exons.
GAACGGGCAGGGCCCUGCCCCAGGUUGGGGUAGGAGGAGCCUGGCGGUUGCCCAGCAGCGCUCAGGAGGGACUCCAGGUGUCUGCAGCUGGAGGGUGAAGUGGACAUCCCUCCUGUUCGCCAGGCUUCUGUCACAUGGUGCCCCAGCCUACUGACUGCUGUGUCGAACUGAUCCAGUGGGAUCCACAGGGCCUCUGAUAUGGAUACCGAGAGAACAAUACCUGCCCACGGGACUUGCUCCUGUGAGAUAAAGGACCUCGCUGGCUAGCAGUCAGCAACUGAAGCAAGCUGGACUCCCUCCAGAGGGGUCUCAAGGAGAGUGGCUAUAGCAACAGAAUCCUGGUACAUGACAACCCCAUGGGAAACCCUGGGUGAAGCCAGGGCAGGUGCUCACUUGCUCAGUCCUAGCCUCUCCCCUCCCUCCAGCGAUGCACCUCUGAGCAACACAGUUCCAGGAUUUCAGCUCUAAGUGCCAGAGGCAGGCUUGGAGGGCCAGGCUUGGAGGAACCGGCAAGUUCAGUGCCGCCUCUUCCUUCACCCCAGACCACCGAGGCUCCCCUGGGACCAGCCUCCCGGAUGGGUGGGGGGCCUAGAGGCAGCCAGUGUUGCUAUCUCUCGGGCUUGACCUCUCUUCUAGGUCAGAGGACAAGAGGGAAGGGGACUGGGAGACUCCAAGGCUGGAUGGGGCCAGCCCUGUCCCAGUUUCCCCUCAAUGGGGUUCCCUUGCUCAGACUAAGGAAGAACCGUGACUCACUUCCUGCCUCGCUGGGUCUGACUGCAGAAGUAUUGUUUCUACCAACAGUGGCUGCUGCUGGUGGGACUACCCCAGUGUGGCCCCCACAGCCAGUCCCUUCUUGGGAAAGUUCCCACUCCCAGUCUUCUCCCCCAGAUAAGUUUUCGGAACCCCUCAUUCUUCCCCAGGUUUCCGGGUUUUGCAGCAUUUGUAAGGAUGCCCGUAUGAUACCUUAUCCUAUUAACUGAAUAUU